AGUUUCCCUCGAAGUCCAGAUUUAAUUUAGUUUGAAACCAUCAAUUCCCCAACCCAACUUAUACCUCCAAUUUUUCAUUGACCCUUUUAUUCCCACCCCCAAAUCCCUCUUUAUUUUUUUCCUGUCCUCCCUCUUUAGCCUGAUACCAGUUGCUAGUUGUUGGAACUCUCGAGAGAACGAGACCAGGAGGAGACUUCUUAUGAAGGUAAACUAUCCGUCGACUUACAGCCCUAAUCACUUGGGUUUCGAGUUUAGUCAAAUCGAAGGUUAAUCAUGAUGAGAAGCGGUUGAUGAAGACGCAAUCAAAUACUAUAAGGAACGUAAAUUUUCUUUUCUCUAUUUAUUAUCUCUCACUUAUUUUCAUGUAAAUUUCAUCGUUAUCUGCAAGAUUUGUGAAAUUAUCUAACAUUUUUUUAUGUCUAUCUAUGAGAAUAGCAUUGUUAUUUAUUUUACCAAGAUGUGGCAACUCUAUAACUAUUUGCAAAAAUGGCUAAAUUGGGUAAGUUUUUCAAAUGGCCACAACCAUAUUUGAUUUAUUUCAUAAUCAAAAUAGUGAAAACCAAAGUUCUGCAGUUAUUGAUGAAGAAAGCACGAACCAAAUUAGUUUAAUGUUUAAUGAAAUACUUUGGUGAUGAUGUUAUAUUUUUUUGAUUUUGUUGCAGCUUGUUUUUGGGAAUUUAAAGUGCCUAAGAUCUUUCCUCCUUGUAUUCUUCUCACUUGUCUUCACGGUGAAUAGUUCAUAUGAAUCUUCAACAUUUGUAAUUAUUUCAUCACUUACUACUAGGGAUUAGCAUUUGGUACCGGUAUUUACAGGUAAAACACCGGUAAGUACCGGUACCGUACUGGUACUGGUACCGGUACCGAACCUGUAUAUUCGUACCAUUACCACUUUUUCCCAUUUUUCGGUACCGGUACUCGUUCGGUACCGAACGGGCACCCUGCUCAUCCCUACUUACUACAACCCUUGAGUUGAGUACUGGAUUAUUCAAGAAAAGUGGUACUGGUAGGGCUGUAAGUGGAGCCUAGUUAUCACAUUGCUAGGGUUUAGGUUUAGUAAUGUACAAUAAUCUAACAUUUCAGAAAAGAUAUAAUCUCAGAUAGGCUCCACAUUGCUAGGGUUUAGGUUCCAUGGUUGACUUAAUCAAAUGAGGAGCAAUGCGUUUGUUAAAGGCCUGAAUUUUAAUAUGUUUCAUGUCGUCACAUUAUUCGAUUAACAAGAUAUUUUAGUAUGCAGAUCUAUGAGGUGGUUACAAUCGCUUGAUUACUAUUUGUUUAAAAAGUGAUAACUUUGGUAUUGAUGUGUUAUUAACAGUGAUGUGUUAAUUUAUCAGUACCAGUGAGGAAUAAACGACGGAGUAGGCCGGAACGAGAGAAAAUAGAGAAACAUGAUAUGAUGAAGAAAAUUGAAGAAACUUGAGGUUACAUCCUUAAAUGAAUAAGAGAUUUCAAUUGUAAAUAAUAUAUGCCAAGUUUCUACCAAGUUUGGAUAUGGGUUUAUGUUAGUAAACACAUUAUUUUGAAUAUUGAAUGUAUUCCUUUUGGUUAAUUUGUAUCUUUAUUCUGUUAUUGUUUA
Long non-coding RNA from Helianthus annuus (common sunflower), 1573 nucleotides. RefSeq lists it as uncharacterized. The transcript has 2 exons. NCBI's taxonomy places the organism in Eukaryota, Viridiplantae, Streptophyta, Magnoliopsida, Asterales, Asteraceae. The record is from RefSeq and is a predicted model, not a curated record.